GCUCUGGCCCGGUAGCUCAGUUGGUAGAGCAGCGGAUUGAAAAUCCGCGUGUCGGUGGUUCGAAUCCGCCCCCAGGCACCA
Molecule: transfer RNA, 81 nt
Filed under: Brevundimonas sp.
Lineage: Bacteria; Pseudomonadati; Pseudomonadota; Alphaproteobacteria; Caulobacterales; Caulobacteraceae
Description: tRNA-Phe
Rfam family: tRNA (bases 7-78)
About the family: Transfer RNA (tRNA) molecules are approximately 80 nucleotides in length.
Source: RNAcentral